GAUGAACGCUGGCGGCGUGCCUAAUACAUGCAAGUCGAGCGAACAGACGAGGAGCUUGCUCCUCUGACGUUAGCGGCGGACGGGUGAGUAACACGUGGAUAACCUACCUAUAAGACUGGGAUAACUUCGGGAAACCGGAGCUAAUACCGGAUAAUAUAUUGAACCGCAUGGUUCAAUAGUGAAAGACGGUUUUGCUGUCACUUAUAGAUGGAUCCGCGCCGCAUUAGCUAGUUGGUAAGGUAACGGCUUACCAAGGCAACGAUGCGUAGCCGACCUGAGAGGGUGAUCGGCCACACUGGAACUGAGACACGGUCCAGACUCCUACGGGAGGCAGCAGUAGGGAAUCUUCCGCAAUGGGCGAAAGCCUGACGGAGCAACGCCGCGUGAGUGAUGAAGGUCUUCGGAUCGUAAAACUCUGUUAUUAGGGAAGAACAAAUAUGUAAGUAGCUAUGCACGUCUUGACGGUACCUAAUCAGAAAGCCACGGCUAACUACGUG
RNAcentral lists this ribosomal RNA (497 nucleotides) under uncultured bacterium. Its description in RNAcentral is "partial 16S ribosomal RNA". It matches the Rfam family "Bacterial small subunit ribosomal RNA", at positions 28 to 507 of the family's 1533-position model. The record is from RNAcentral.